This 280-nucleotide ribosomal RNA is filed under the name uncultured Octadecabacter sp. RNAcentral's name for it is "partial 16S ribosomal RNA". It matches the Rfam family "Bacterial small subunit ribosomal RNA", at positions 29 to 334 of the family's 1533-position model. The record is from RNAcentral. Lineage: Bacteria; Pseudomonadati; Pseudomonadota; Alphaproteobacteria; Rhodobacterales; Roseobacteraceae.
AACGAACGCUGGCGGCACGCCUAACACAUGCAAGUCGAGCGCAGUCCUUCGGGACCGAGCGGCGGACGGGUUAGUAACGCGUGGGAACAUACCCUUUUCUACGGAAUAGCCUCGGGAAACUGAGAGUAAUACCGUAUACGCCCUUCGGGGGAAAGAUUUAUCGGUGAAGGAUUGGCCCGCGUUAGAUUAGAUAGUUGGUGGGGUAAUGGCCUACCAAGUCUACGAUCUAUAGCUGGUUUGAGAGGAUGAUCAGCAACACUGGGACUGAGACACGGCCCAG